Molecule: long non-coding RNA, 677 nt
Filed under: Chrysolophus pictus (golden pheasant)
Lineage: Eukaryota; Metazoa; Chordata; Aves; Galliformes; Phasianidae
Description: lncRNA (ENSCPIG00010013430.1)
Source: RNAcentral
CAUCACUGAGGGAGAUCACCAAAUGUCAGGACGACCUCAGAGAAGAUAACGAAUCCUUAAGAAAACAGUUAAAUGAUGAGAUUAUAGAGAAGAAGUACUUGAAUGAACAAAUGAGGACAGGAGAAGCUUGUUUCAGCUACCUGGAAUGGAAACAUCAGUUUAUAAUGGCAGAGAUGUAUAAGGAUACCUGUGAAGUGGCACAACAGAUGACACCUUUCAUGCAGGAAGAAGUGAGGGCAGCAUCAAAAGGGGAUAAGCUACCACCGAACUCUGAAGUUUAUGGGCUUCUGACUGUCCUUAUGGAUUGGAUCUCAGACGAGCACCUUAGCAAACUCCAGAGACAAGAAGAAAGAAAGGAGAGUCAGAAACCUCAGUCUAGCAAAAGAACCUACCUCCAGGAGAAGUGUUUGAAGGUAAAGGGACUUGAGUUUGCUCUGGUUCAUGUGUUUUCAGCUUCACAUAUAUACUGACUGGUUUUAUUGUGAGAGUAGAAAAGGUCAGCCUGUUUUGCAUAGACCUCGGAUAGAGUAAUGAAAGCAGAACGGCAGUUACUAAGUCAGUAUGAAUCCCAGCAGUCAGAUGGAAUGGCUGCGUUGUCACUUAUAAAACAGAGCCAUCGUUUUGAAGGAAAAGUGUUGUGUUCAGUCUCAACUUGCAAGUUUCAGCCCGUCUUUUAU